AUUGAACGCUGGCGGCAGGCCUAACACAUGCAAGUCGAGCGGAGCGGCGGACGGGUGAGUAAUGCCUAGGAAUCUGCCUGGUAGUGGGGGAUAACGUCCGGAAACGGGCGCUAAUACCGCAUACUAUCAGAUGAGCCUAGGUCGGAUUAGCUAGUUGGUGGGGUAAAGGCCUACCAAGGCGACGAUCCGUAACUGGUCUGAGAGGAUGAUCAGUCAAACGUGAAAUGGGGAACGGGCCAGAACCCGACGGGGGGCAGGAGGGGGGAAUAUUGGACAAUGGGGGGAAGGCUGAAUGAGCCAAGCCGGGGGGGAGAAGAAGGGCUUAGGAUUGUAAAGCACUUUAAGUUGGGAGGCGUUACCAGCAGAAUAAGCACCGGCUAACUUCGUGCCAGCAGCCGCGGUAAUAC
RNAcentral lists this ribosomal RNA (407 nucleotides) under uncultured bacterium. Its description in RNAcentral is "partial 16S ribosomal RNA". It matches the Rfam family "Bacterial small subunit ribosomal RNA", at positions 29 to 526 of the family's 1533-position model. The record is from RNAcentral.